UUAGCAUGGAAUAAUGGAAUAGGACGUAUGGUUCUAUUUUGUUGGUUUCUAGGACCAUCGUAAUGAUUAAUAGGGACGGUCGGGGGCAUCAGUAUUCAGUUGUCAGAGGUGAAAUUCUUGGAUUAACUGAAGACUAACUACUGCGAAAGCAUUUGCCAAGGACGUUUUCAUUAAUCAAGAACGAAAGUUAGGGGAUCGAAGAUGAUCAGAUACCGUCGUAGUCUUAACCAUAAACUAUGCCGACUAGGGAUCGGGUGGCGCUAUUUUGCCCACUCGGCACCUUACGAGAAAUCAAAGUUUUUGGGUUCUGGGGGGAGUAUGGUCGCAAGGCUGAAACUUAAAGGAAUUGACGGAAGGGCACCACCAGGAGUGGAGCCUGCGGCUUAAUUUGACUCAACACGGGGAAACUCACCAGGUCCAGACGUAAUAAGGAUUGACAAGUUAGAGACUUCUCUUGAUCUUACGGGUGGUGGUGCAUGGCCGUUUUUAGUCCUUGGAGUGAUUUGUCUGCUUAAUUGCGAUAACGGACGAGACCUUAACCUGCUAAAUAGGGCUGCGAGCAUCUGCUCGUGGGCUCUUCUUAGAGGGACUAUGGGUAUCAAACCCAUGGAAGUUUGAGGCAACAACAGGUCUGUGAUGCCCUUAGACGUUCUGGGCCGCACGCGCGCUACACUGACGGAGCCAGCGAGUUUAUAACCUUAACUGAGAAGUUUGGGUAAUCUUGUGAAACUCCGUCGUGCUGGGGAUAGAGCAUUGCAAU
Molecule: ribosomal RNA, 760 nt
Filed under: uncultured fungus
Lineage: Eukaryota; Fungi
Description: SSU rRNA
Rfam family: Eukaryotic small subunit ribosomal RNA
Source: RNAcentral